ACGUAGGGGGCGAGCGUUAUCCGGAAUUACUGGGCGUAAAGAGUGCGUAGGUGGCCAUUCAAGCGCAGGGUUUAAGGCAACGGCCUAACCGUUGUCAGCCUUGCGAACUGGAAGGCUUGAGUGCAGGAGAGGAAGGUGGAAUUCCUAGUGUAGCGGUGAAAUGCGUAGAUAUUAGGAGGAAGACCAGUGGCGAAGGCGACUUUCUGGACUGUAACUGACACUGAGGCACGAAAGCGUGGGGAGCAAACAG
RNAcentral lists this ribosomal RNA (250 nucleotides) under uncultured prokaryote. Its description in RNAcentral is "partial 16S rRNA". It matches the Rfam family "Bacterial small subunit ribosomal RNA", at positions 525 to 775 of the family's 1533-position model. The record is from RNAcentral.